This 679-nucleotide ribosomal RNA is filed under the name uncultured bacterium. RNAcentral describes it as "bacterial SSU rRNA". It matches the Rfam family "Bacterial small subunit ribosomal RNA", at positions 31 to 701 of the family's 1533-position model. The record is from RNAcentral.
GAACGCUGGCGGCAGGCUUAACACAUGCAAGUCGAGCGGAAACGAAGGUAGCUUGCUACCAGACGUCGAGCGGCGGACGGGUGAGUAAUGCUUAGGAAUCUACCGAGUAGUGGGGGAUAGCCAUUGGAAACGAUGAUUAAUACCGCAUAUAUCCUACGGGGGAAAGCAGGGGACCUUCGGGCCUUGCGCUAUUCGAUGAGCCUGAGUGAGAUUAGCUAGUUGGUGGGGUAAAGGCCUACCAAGGCGACGAUCUCUAGCUGGUCUGAGAGGAUGAUCAGCCACACUGGGACUGAGACACGGCCCAGACUCCUACGGGAGGCAGCAGUGGGGAAUAUUGCACAAUGGACGAAAGUCUGAUGCAGCCAUGCCGCGUGUGUGAAGAAGGCCUUCGGGUUGUAAAGCACUUUCAGCGAGGAGGAAAGGUCAGUAAGUAAUAUUUGCUGGCUGUGACGUUACUCGCAGAAGAAGCACCGGCUAAUUUAGUGCCAGCAGCCGCGGUAAUACUAAAGGUGCAAGCGUUAAUCGGAAUUACUGGGCGUAAAGCGCGCGUAGGUGGUUUGUUAAGUUGGAUGUGAAAGCCCAGGGCUCAACCUUGGAACUGCAUUCAAAACUGACUCACUAGAGUACGAGAGAGGUUAGUGGAAUUUCCUGUGUAGCGGUGAAAUGCGUAGAGAUGGGA